Molecule: unclassified non-coding RNA, 148 nt
Organism: Papio anubis (olive baboon)
Lineage: Eukaryota; Metazoa; Chordata; Mammalia; Primates; Cercopithecidae
Rfam family: Metazoan signal recognition particle RNA
About the family: The signal recognition particle (SRP) is a universally conserved ribonucleoprotein. It is involved in the co-translational targeting of proteins to membranes.
Source: Ensembl
GCCGGGCGUGGUGGCGCACGCCUGUAAUCCCAGCUACUCGGGAGGCUGAGGUGGGAGAAUUGCUUGAACCCAGGAGGUGGAAGUUACGGUGAGUCGAGAUCACGCCACUGCACUCCAGCCUGGACGACAGAGCAAGACUCCAUCUCAA